This 1474-nucleotide ribosomal RNA is filed under the name metagenome. RNAcentral's name for it is "bacterial SSU rRNA". It matches the Rfam family "Bacterial small subunit ribosomal RNA". The record is from RNAcentral.
AGAGUUUGGUCCUGGCUCAGGAUGAACGCUGGCGGCGUGCCUAACACAUGCAAGUCGAGCGAGAAAAUAUUCGAUGAACCUUCGGGUGAUUUGAAUAAUGGAAAGCGGCGGACGGGUGAGUAACGCGUGGGCAACCUGCCUUGUACAGGGGGAUAACAACGUGAAAACGUUGCUAAUACCGCAUAAGCGCACAGUAUCGCAUGGUACAGUGUGAAAAACUCUGGUAGUACAAGAUGGGCCCGCGUCUGAUUAGCUAGUUGGUGAGGUAGAAGCUCACCAAGGCGACGAUCAGUAGCCGACCUGAGAGGGUGAUCGGCCACAUUGGGACUGAGACACGGCCCAAACUCCCACGGGAGGCAGCAGUGGGAAUAUUGCACAAUGGGGGAAACCCUGAUGCAGCAACGCCGCGUGAAGGAAGACGGUUUUCGGAUUGUAAACUUCUAUCAGCAGGGAAGAAAAUGACGGUACCUGACUAAGAAGCCCCGGCUAACUACGUGCCAGCAGCCGCGGUAAUACGUAGGGGGCAAGCGUUAUCCGGAUUUACUGGGUGUAAAGGGUGCGUAGGCGGCAAAGUAAGUCAGAUGUGAAAGCCCGUUGCUCAACAACGGGACUGCAUUUGAAACUACUUAGCUAGAGUACAGGAGAGGUAAGUGGAAUUCCUAGUGUAGCGGUGAAAUGCGUAGAUAUUAGGAAGAACACCAGUGGCGAAGGCGACUUACUGGACUGUAACUGACGCUGAGGCACGAAAGCGUGGGGAGCGAACAGGAUUAGAUACCCUGGUAGUCCACGCUGUAAACGAUGAAUACUAGGUGUCGGGGGUCAAACCUCGGUGCCGCAGCUAACGCAUUAAGUAUUCCACCUGGGGAGUACGAUCGCAAGAUUGAAACUCAAAGGAAUUGACGGGGGCCCGCACAAGCGGUGGAGCAUGUGGUUUAAUUCGACGCAACGCGAAGAACCUUACCAAAUCUUGACAUCCCAUUGACCGUUCCUUAAUCGGAGCUUUCCUUCGGGACAAUGGUGACAGGUGGUGCAUGGUUGUCGUCAGCUCGUGUCGUGAGAUGUUGGGUUAAGUCCCGCAACGAGCGCAACCCUUAUCUUUAGUAGCCAGCGUGUAAUGACGGGGACUCUAGAGAGACUGCCGGGGACAACUCGGAGGAAGGUGGGGAUGACGUCAAAUCAUCAUGCCCCUUAUGAUUUGGGCUACACACGUGCUACAAUGGUAGUGACAAAGGGAAGCAAGACAGUGAUGUUAAGCCAACCUCAAAAAAGCUAUCUCAGUUCGGAUUGUAGUCUGCAACUCGACUACAUGAAGCUGGAAUCGCUAGUAAUCGCGAAUCAGAAUGUCGCGGUGAAUACGUUCCCGGGCCUUGUACACACCGCCCGUCACACCAUGGGAGUCGGAAGCGCCCGAAGCCAGUGACCCAACUUUUAGAGGGAGCUGUCGAAGGUGAAGUCGAUGACUAGGGUGAAGUCG